AAAUUGAAGAGUUUGAUCAUGGCUCAGAUUGAACGCUGGCGGCAGGCCUAACACAUGCAAGUCGAACGGUAACAGGAAGCAGCUUGCUGCUUCGCUGACGAGUGGCGGACGGGUGAGUAAUGUCUGGGAAACUGCCUGAUGGAGGGGGAUAACUACUGGAAACGGUGGCUAAUACCGCAUAACGUCGCAAGACCAAAGAGGGGGACCUUCGGGCCUCUUGCCAUCAGAUGUGCCCAGAUGGGAUUAGCUUGUUGGUGAGGUAACGGCUCACCAAGGCGACGAUCCCUAGCUGGUCUGAGAGGAUGACCAGCCACACUGGAACUGAGACACGGUCCAGACUCCUACGGGAGGCAGCAGUGGGGAAUAUUGCACAAUGGGCGCAA
This 383-nucleotide ribosomal RNA is filed under the name Salmonella enterica subsp. enterica serovar Infantis. RNAcentral describes it as "bacterial SSU rRNA". It matches the Rfam family "Bacterial small subunit ribosomal RNA", at positions 1 to 380 of the family's 1533-position model. The record is from RNAcentral. Lineage: Bacteria; Pseudomonadati; Pseudomonadota; Gammaproteobacteria; Enterobacterales; Enterobacteriaceae. RNAcentral also lists the same sequence under 3 other names.